CCUACGGGAGGCAGCAGUGAGGAAUAUUGGUCAAUGGGCGAGAGCCUGAACCAGCCAAGUCGCGUGAGGGAGUACUGCCCUAUGGGUUGUAAACCUCUUUUGUCGGGGAGCAAAAGCCGGACGUGUCCGGCUGUGAGAGUACCCGAAGAAAAAGCAUCGGCUAACUCCGUGCCAGCAGCCGCGGUAAUACGGAGGAUGCGAGCGUUAUCCGGAUUUAUUGGGGUUAAAGGGUGCGCAGGCGGAUUUUUAAGUCAGCGGUCAAAUCGUGGGGCUCAACCCCAUCCAGCCGUUGAAACUGGGGAUCUAGAGUGUGCGAGAGGUAUGCGGAAUGCGUGGUGUAGCGGUGAAAUGCAUAGAUAGCACGCAGAACCCCGAUUGCGAAGGCAGCAUACCGGUGCACAACUGACGCUCAGGCACGAAAGCGUGGGUAUCGAACAGGAUUAGAUACCCCGGUAGUC
RNAcentral lists this ribosomal RNA (458 nucleotides) under uncultured bacterium. Its description in RNAcentral is "partial 16S ribosomal RNA". It matches the Rfam family "Bacterial small subunit ribosomal RNA", at positions 338 to 795 of the family's 1533-position model. The record is from RNAcentral.